AGUCGAACGCGAAAGUCUCUUCGGAGAUGAGUAGAGUGGCGCACGGGUGAGUAACGCGUGGAUUAUCUACCUAUUGAUACGGGACAACAGUUGGAAACGACUGCUAAUACCGUAUAAGCUGGUAACGGGAAAGGGGGCCUCUUCUUGAAAGCUCUCGCCAGUAGAUGAGUCCGCGUUUCAUUAGCUAGACGGUGGGGUAACGGCCUACCGUGGCAACGAUGAAUAGCAGGCCUGAGAGGGUGGCCUGCCACACUGGGACUGGAACACGGCCCAGACUCCUACGGGAGGCAGCAGUGGGGAAUAUUGCGCAAUGGACGAAAGUCUGACGCAGCGACGCCGCGUGGAGGAUGAAGGUUUUCGGAUCGUAAACUCCUGUCAAGAGGGAAGAAACCUAUUAGGAAUAAUACUCCUAGUAAUUGACGGUACCUCUAGAGGAAGCACCGGCUAAUUCAGUGCCAGCAGCCGCGGUAAUACUGAAGGUGCAAGCGUUAAUCGGAAUCACUGGGCGUAAAGCGCUC
This 518-nucleotide ribosomal RNA is filed under the name uncultured bacterium. RNAcentral's name for it is "bacterial SSU rRNA". It matches the Rfam family "Bacterial small subunit ribosomal RNA", at positions 60 to 570 of the family's 1533-position model. The record is from RNAcentral.